Molecule: long non-coding RNA, 2299 nt
Filed under: Sus scrofa (pig)
Lineage: Eukaryota; Metazoa; Chordata; Mammalia; Artiodactyla; Suidae
Description: lncRNA (ENSSSCG00065077347.1)
Source: RNAcentral
GCAGAGGUAGACUGAAUAGGGACACUACCACACAAGGGAAAACUUUAGGACCAUGACAGAUAACUGUUUCACCAAAAUCAUAGAGACAGAAAGCAAAAUAAGAAGACAGAGAAUUUGUUUCAACUAAAAAAAAAAAAAAAAAAAGGAAAAAGAAAACCCCUGAAGAAAACAACUAGUGAAAUGGAAUAAAUAAUUUACCAGAUAAAGAGGUGAAAGCAUUAGCAAUAAAAAUGCUAACUGAAUUAGGGAAAACAAUAUAUAAACACAGUAAUAAAUUUAUAAACACCUUCUGCAGCUCCACACACAAAAAAGCAAACAACCCAUCAAAAAAUGGGCAGAAAAUCUAAACAGACAAUUCUCCAAAGAAGACAUACAGAUGGCCAAAAAACACAUGAAAAGAUGUUCAACAUCACUCAUGAUUAGAGAAACGAAAAUCAAAACCACUAUGAGGUACCACCUUACACCAGCCAGAAUGGCCAUCAUCCAAAAGUCUACCAACAAUAAGUGCUGGAGAGGGUGUGGAGAAAAAGGAACCCUAGUACACUGUUGGUGGGAUUGUAAAUUGGUGCAACCACUGUGGAAAGCAAUAUGGAGAUUCCUCAGAAAACUAAACAUAGAACUGCCAUUUGAUCCAGCAAUCCCACUCCUGGGCAUCUAUCCAGAGAAAACCACGACUCGCAAAGACACAUGUUCUCCAAUGUUCAUUGCAGCACUAUUUGCGAUAGCCAAGACAUAGAAACAACCUAAAUAUCCACUGACAGAGGAGUGGAUCAAGAAGAUGUGGUGCAUAUACACAAUGGAAUAUUACUCAGCCAUUAAAAGGAACGAAAUACCAGCGUUUUUAGCAACAUGGAUGGACCUAGGAAUUAUCAUGCUAAGUGAAGUCAGUCAGACAAUGAGACACCAACAUAAAUAUAUGUGGAAUCUGAAAAAAGGACAGACUGAACUUCUUUGCAGAACGGAUGCUGACUCACAGACUUUGAAAAACUUACGGCUUCCAAAGGAGUCAGUUUGGGGGGUGGGGGGAUGCACCAGGGGGGUGUGGAAUGGAAAUCUUAUAAAAUUGGAUUGUGAUGAUCAUUGUACAACUAUAAAUGUAAUAAAUUCAUUGAGUAAUAAAAAAAUUGUUAUCUUCAAUAUUCUAGUGAUUCAAGUGUGGGAAACCCAUUUUAACUGAGCCUAAUAUAAUCACAGUUCCAUCUAAUACCAGAGACAGGUUCUGUCUUUGUUCAAUUUUUCCUAGAACACUGGAUCCAAAGAGGUGUUUAGACCCUGACCUGAGGAGGGAAAAAAAUCCAGAAGGAGAUAGUCCCUGUACUUCCAGACAUUCAGGAUUCUAGGGAUAGAAACAAAAGUUGGCUUGGGGUCCAAUCAACAACCGUUUCUCACCAUCAUCACUAAAUCCCUGAUUGAACACUUACUGAGCUCCCUGUACUGGCUCCCAGGGCAUCACUUCAUGAAGACAUCAGCAGGAUGGGAUGCAGUCAGAGCAAAGGAAAAAGCCUGUUUAUCUACUUACAACACUUCUGACAUGCAAGCAAUUCUCCUACUCUCAAAAUUUCCCAAAGCCAGUGGGUACCAAGGGUUGGGAGGUGUAAGUAGCCUGCCCCAAUGCAAGCAUAAGAAGGUGAAUUGUCUGUAAAGAACUUUAAAACAGUAAUAAAACUAACUAUAAGUCAAUCUGACUUGUAUCACAUCUACUAAAUAGUGUUAGUGAUACAAUAACCCUCAAACAAAAGCCUUUUAUUGGUCUAAAUUAUAAACAGCCAAUAUGGUUACUGUUGCAUUAUAAUAAAAUAUAUGCAGGCUUCAAACUACCACUUUUUAAAACUAAUCCACUAAAACAUAUUUUAUUCUUCAUGAAUGCUAAUCUGAAAAACUAUCAGUUACACAGAUUCAGCUGCAUAAUAUCACUUUUUAUAGUAAAUUCAUAACAAUUUGUGAUCUUUCAAGCUCACUUUAGGCACAUUUUGUGCCUCCGACCCUUGUGGUAGAACAUAACCCUGCUCCCAAAACUAUAAAUUUAAAAGAAACAAUCCUGGAGUUCCCGUCGUGGCACAGUGGUUAACGAAUCCGACUAGGAACCAUAAGGUUGCAGGUUCGGUCCCUGCCCUUGCUCAGUGGGUUAACGAUCCGGCGUUGCCGUGAGCUGUGGUGUAGGUCGCAGAUGCGGCUCCGAUCCUGCGUUGCUGUGGCUCUGGUGUAGGCCAGUGGCUGCAGCUCCGAUUGAACCCCUAGCCUGGGAAUCUCCAUAUGCCGCAGAAGCGGCCCAAGAAAUGGCAAAAAGACAAAAAAAAAA